AACAGAGGGCCGUUACACUCACAGUGUAAGAACAGACUGACAAUUCCAGGGCGCUGGCUUUUAUGAAAAUAGGAAACGCCACGAUGCACUCUAACGUGGAGAUGGGGCGCCGUUCACACUGAGAUGAGACAGGUGGAAAAGAGAGCUCGCCCUUCUUGCAUUGUCACACGGAGCGGCCCUCUCCCUGUGCAGCGUGGAGUCCCCUGGGCGCGGGCGAGGCUCAGGCGGGACGCGGCGGAGACCGAGCUUGUCCCUGUGUGGACCCGGGCAACUGCCGGUGGGCGAGGCCUGGAUGGUGGCCAGGCCGCAGCCACCCGGACGUUUGCGAGCGCCGAAGGUGUGUAAAAAUCGCUCCAGUGGUGAAUUGGAAACUCGCAGUGCCAGGAAGUGCUUCCACAGGCUUAAUGCAUCUCUGCUCCUCUUUUUUCAUAAAAAUUCAAAGUGUUUAGACGGGGGAUGCUGAGAGAGAAGCCGGUUUGCUGGGAGGUGCGAGCCCAGAGCACACGCUCCACCUAGACUGCGGGCAGUGCCCCACCAUGAGGAGCUCAGCAGUUUCUUCACGUGGUGUUUUCCACCAUGCAAAAACAUCCAAGAUCUAUUGUUUAUGUAGCUUGUACUUUGGGUCAGGCCCCGGUUCAAUUCCUAACAGUGACAUUUUGUAUUUGUGUGACUAAUACACGUGUUAUUAAGAAAGUUACUACUGUCUUUAAGAUGCAGUUUCCUCAUCUGUGAAAUGGAAUAUUUGUGUAUUCCAUAUGUUAUAUAAUAUUACUGUCUGCUUAACCUUGGCAUAGUGUUUGAAGGACACAAAGCCUGAGUCCAGCACAGAGCAGGUGCUUGAUGAAUAUCCCAGACACGGAGGAAGGCAGCAUCUCGAUUCCAAGUUCUUUUCCUGUAUAUACAUUUAUAUCUCUCUGAAUAGGCAUCUGCAUUUGUUUCUUUUAUUAUAGACAGGUUGUCUGAUCUCAAUCCGUUAGAGAUGGGGUAGCCUUAGGGACCCUCUGGUCCCACAUCUCACUGUACAGGGGAUGCAGGAUUUGCCAAGGUCCUACCCAUUAGUGAGUAGCAGAGCCUGGAUGAGUUCCUCGGAUCAGGAGGAGGUGGUGUGCUCCUGUCCUCCUGUGAGAUGAAGCCAUUCUUAAUCAGAGCCUCGGAUCAGGAGGAGGGGCUGUGCGCCUGUCCUCCUGUGAGAUGAAGCCAUUCUUAAUCAGAGCCUCGGAUCAGGAGGAGGGGCUGUGCGCCUGUCCUCCUGUGAGAUGAAGCUGUGCUCAACCCCGGCCUCAGAUCAGGAGGAGGGGCUGUGCUCCUGUCCUCCUGUGAGAUGAGGCCAUGCUCAAUCCCAGGACAGGUGCAGGCGAUUGCUUUCACCUUCUAACUUUAGAAUCUGGAGAGUCCGCAUAGCUCCUACUUUCGAAGCUGCCUCAGAGAGUCUUUGUUAUUGCAAAAUGCGUGUGGGCAGGCUGGACCAGGCAGUGGAUCUUGUUGUUUUGUUAGGGAGAAAGGAAAACUGAAGUUCCAUCACCUGCCAGUUAGUCUUGGUCUACCUCCAACCCAAACUUGGGCUCAGUGAAGCAGAUUAAUAAAGCAAUGGGGCAUCUCUGGCUGCUGCGAGCACCAUGAAUAUGCAUGCAGUGCAGGCCACCGGCUGGAACGCUUUUCCCACCCUGGAAUUCGCCAGUCACGUUUCUACUCUCUGGGUUUCUUUCUAAGUUGAAAGAUUCUGGAAUUGUGGAGCUGGAAGGGAUAUUAGUGAAGACCAUCUGGUCCAGUGUCCUCAUUUUACAGAUGAGCUAACUGAGGCCAGAGGGGAAGGGCCACUCCAGGGCACACUGCGAAUGGCUCACAAACCCAGGACCAGGCCAGAUCUCGCAGCUCUUGCUCCAGAGGAUGCUUAGUGCCUGCAGUGCUUAGGGCACUCAUUUUUUUGCUGAAUUUUGUUUAUUGAGACCAUAUGGAAAGCGAGUUGAGGCUGAAGUUACAUGCAUUCAGGACCAAGAGAAAUGCAAUUGAUCACAAGAUCCUUCUGUGUUGGGCCGCUGAGCAAAUCGUGGGGUCACCCUCUCUCUUAGCAGUACAGGCUAUGUCGAUAUGAUGAUAUCACCUUAGAGCUAAUGAAAUGCAUUCCUGAGAAAUAAAAUGAUCGUUUCUGUUUUCUGCAGAGCAAUUCCAAAUGAGAGAAGCAAUAACACUUUUUAUGACCUAUUAAAAUCACUCUCAUUUCACUAAACAACCUUCACACCUGUGGCAGUCCUUGCUUCCCUCGCAGGGGAAAUACCCUGAUGUCGGAAAAAACUAUCCUUGAGUGAGGCCUGACACUGUGCCUGUGAUGAUGUGAGCCAUCUGCAAAAUUCACCGUGGAGGACAGAAUGCCACUUAGGCUAAAGCAGGAGGAAGGGGCUUAUAAUUCUCGUCAUCUUUUGUUUGAAUGCAAACGAAACUACAGCCCAGGAAAUAAAUUCAAUGUACUUUGACAAAACAUGGGUAAUCUUACCAGCAUAGUCUCAAGUGGAGAAAGGUGACCACCUAAACUAAGAAUCAACAAAAAUCAAACAAAAUGAAACAUGUUGCUUAGAAAUGCAUUCAUUUGUGAUAAAACUGUUUUUAAAAAGCAAGAACAUGAUAGACACCCAAUUUGGGACAGUGGCCAUGUUUAGAGGGCUGCAGGGGGGAUGCUGUGUAGGAGAGGCACAGAAAAUUGGUGUUGUUUGUAAAUUCGGGGGUGAGUUAAAAAAGUAGGGAAGAAGGAAGAUACCAAACCAACUUCUGGACAGAACUUCUGACUUUGUAGCAGCCUUGCAGUCUUUAUUAAGCAAGAUGCGUUAUGCCAAUGAUUUCAGAUAAUUUACUAGCAAGAGGAUACUCAAUUCUAUCUUGUUUACGAAUGAAAACUCCAAAAUAAAUGAGGCUCUGUGCCGCGGCACCUCGUUAUUUCUUGUUCUGC
This is a long non-coding RNA of Homo sapiens (human), 2941 nucleotides long. Ensembl annotates it as EGFR long non-coding downstream RNA. Its record names the gene ELDR. NCBI's taxonomy places the organism in Eukaryota, Metazoa, Chordata, Mammalia, Primates, Hominidae. The record is from Ensembl.